This 253-nucleotide unclassified non-coding RNA is filed under the name uncultured Sphingobacteriales bacterium. RNAcentral describes it as "contains 16S-23S intergenic spacer region". It matches the Rfam family "Bacterial small subunit ribosomal RNA", at positions 524 to 776 of the family's 1533-position model. The record is from RNAcentral. Lineage: Bacteria; Pseudomonadati; Bacteroidota; Sphingobacteriia; Sphingobacteriales.
UACGGAGGAUCCAAGCGUUAUCCGGAUUUAUUGGGUUUAAAGGGUGCGUAGGCGGGUUAUUAAGUCAGUGGUGAAAGCCUGCAGCUUAACUGCAGAAUUGCCAUUGAUACUGAUAAUCUUGAGUGCAGUUGAGGUGGGCGGAAUGUGUCAUGUAGCGGUGAAAUGCUUAGAUAUGACACAGAACACCGAUUGCGAAGGCAGCUCGCUAAACUGUAACUGACGCUCAGGCACGAAAGCGUGGGGAGCAAACAGG